AGCAGCCGCGGUAAUUCCAGCUCCAAUAGCGUAUAUUAAAGUUGUUGCAGUUAAAAGCUCGUAGUUGAAUUUCGGGAUUGGCGUAUCGGUCGUGCCUCACGGGGUAUGAACUGGUGCAGUCAAUUUCUCACCUUCUGGAGAACCGCGAUGUCCUUAAUUGGAUGCCGUGGGGAACCAGGACCUUUACUUUGAAAAAAUUAGAGUGUUUAAAGCAGGCAUUUUUGCUUGAAUACAUUAGCAUGGAAUGAUAAAAUAGGACGGCAUGGUUCUAUUUUGUUGGUUUCUAGGACCACCGUAAUGAUUAAUAGGGAUAGUUGGGGGCAUUAGUAUUCAAUUGUCAGAGGUGAAAUUCUUGGAUUUAUUGAAGACUAACUACUGCGAAAGCAUUUGCCAAGGAUGUUUUCAUUAAUCAAGAGCGAAAGUUAGGGGAUCGAAGACGAUCAGAUACCGUCGUAGUCUUAACCAUAAACUAUGCCGACUAGGAAUCAGACGAUGUUAAUUUUUUAAUGACUCGUUUGGU
RNAcentral lists this unclassified non-coding RNA (520 nucleotides) under uncultured Entrophospora. Its description in RNAcentral is "SSU rRNA". It matches the Rfam family "Eukaryotic small subunit ribosomal RNA", at positions 569 to 1084 of the family's 1831-position model. Lineage: Eukaryota; Fungi; Glomeromycota; Glomeromycetes; Entrophosporales; Entrophosporaceae. The record is from RNAcentral.